UAGUCCACGCCGUAAACGAUGAUUACUCGCUGUAGGCGAUACACAGUCUGUGGCUAAGCGAAAGUUUUAAGUAAUCCACCUGGGGAGUACGGUCGCAAGAUUGAAACUCAAAGGAAUUGACGGGGGCCCGCACAAGCGGAGGAACAUGUGGCUUAAUUCGAUGAUACGCGAGGAACCUUACCUAGGCUAGAAUGCGAGUGCUGUACUCUGAAAGGAGUAUUUUCUUCGGAACACGAAGCAAGGUGCUGCAUGGUUGUCGUCAGCUCGUGCCGUGAGGUGUUGGGUUAAGUCCCGCAACGAGCGCAACCCCUAUCUCCAGUUGCCAGCAAGUAAAGUUGGGGACUCUGGAGAGACUGCCUGUGCAAACAGCGAGGAAGGCGGGGAUGACGUCAAAUCAUCAUGGCCUUUAUGCCUAGGGCGACACACGUGCUACAAUGGUAGGUACAGCGGGUAGCGAAACUGUAAAGUGGAGCCAAUCUUGUAAAGCCUAUCCCAGUUCGGAUUGG
This 506-nucleotide ribosomal RNA is filed under the name uncultured bacterium. RNAcentral's name for it is "bacterial SSU rRNA". It matches the Rfam family "Bacterial small subunit ribosomal RNA", at positions 791 to 1301 of the family's 1533-position model. The record is from RNAcentral.